Molecule: ribosomal RNA, 397 nt
Filed under: uncultured bacterium
Lineage: Bacteria
Description: partial 16S ribosomal RNA
Rfam family: Bacterial small subunit ribosomal RNA
Source: RNAcentral
AUACGUAGGUGGCAAGCGUUGUCCGGAUUUACUGGGUGUAAAGGGCGCGUAGGCGGAUGUACAAGUCAGAUGUGAAAUACCGCAGCUUAACUGCGGGGCUGCAUUUGAAACUGUACAUCUUGAGUGCGGGAGAGGUAAGCGGAAUUCCGAGUGUAGCGGUAAAAUGCAUAGAUAUUCGGAGGAACACCAGUGGCGAAGGCGGCUUACUGGACCGUAACUGACGCUGAAGCACGAAAGCGUGGGGAUCAAACAGGAUUAGAUACCCUGGUAGUCCACGCUGUAAACGAUGGAUACUAGGUGUAGGGGGUAUCAACUCCCCCUGUGCCGCAGUUAACACAAUAAGUAUCCCACCUGGGGAGUACGGCCGCAAGGUUGAAACUUAAAGGAAUUGACGGGG